Molecule: unclassified non-coding RNA, 415 nt
Filed under: Hevea brasiliensis (rubber tree)
Lineage: Eukaryota; Viridiplantae; Streptophyta; Magnoliopsida; Malpighiales; Euphorbiaceae
Source: RNAcentral
GAUGUUAGUCAUGAGCAAUUCCUGGAGGUCUACUUUGCAUGUUCCAAUAGAAGAUUUUAUUUUUUUCAUAGGCGACAUCGAACUCAAAUGGAAAUUUUCUUUUAAUAGAGUGUAGUAGUUUUCUGAUAUCUGGCAAUUAGGAUUUUUGCUUCAGAUAGAAAGGUAAACAAAUUUGUUUCACAUGAAAUUCUGUAAGUUUCCGGUUUAACUCACAUAAUAGGUCAUCAUUAGUUGCGGUGGAGCAACAUACUGGUCUCUUACAAAGUAUUUGCUUUUAUGCAAUACAAGUUACCCAAUUCUUAGGAUAUAAUAGCUGAUACAAAAUAUGUUACUGUAAAAAAGCAGUUUAAAGUAGGUUAUGAGUGUUAAAACUUGGUAGUGAAUAACAGUUUAUUGGUAUUAUUUUUAGUGAAUG